This is a long non-coding RNA of Meriones unguiculatus (Mongolian gerbil), 345 nucleotides long. RefSeq lists it as uncharacterized. Lineage: Eukaryota; Metazoa; Chordata; Mammalia; Rodentia; Muridae. The record is from RefSeq and is a predicted model, not a curated record. The transcript has 2 exons.
AACCUGCCUUUCAUCACCCACCUUUCGGCGACGCGCUGCAGUAUCACGACUACACCGCAAAACCAAAGCCCGAACAAAAGAGAUCCUCCGGGACACAGCGGCGCCCACAGCCCUUAGAAAAGGCUUAUUUACCAGAGUUCCCUGAGGUCUGGUGGAAGGAGUUUCAUCUUAUUUAGGACGGAGUGUUCCAAGGUCUCUCACUCUCAUUAUAAUGUCUGCCUGUGGGUCUCCGUAUUUGUUCCCAUCUGCUGUAGGAGGAAACUUCUCUGAUGAUGGCUGAACAAGGCACCAAUCUAGGAGUAUACAGAAUGUUGUUAGAAUAAUAAAUACCAUCUUAUCACCACA